Molecule: ribosomal RNA, 465 nt
Filed under: Vreelandella stevensii
Lineage: Bacteria; Pseudomonadati; Pseudomonadota; Gammaproteobacteria; Oceanospirillales; Halomonadaceae
Description: partial 16S ribosomal RNA
Rfam family: Bacterial small subunit ribosomal RNA
Source: RNAcentral
CCUACGGGGGGCUGCAGUGGGGAAUAUUGGACAAUGGGGGCAACCCUGAUCCAGCCAUGCCGCGUGUGUGAAGAAGGCCCUCGGGUUGUAAAGCACUUUCAGUGAGGAAGAACGCCUGGUGGUUAAUACCCAUCAGGAAAGACAUCACUCACAGAAGAAGCACCGGCUAACUCCGUGCCAGCAGCCGCGGUAAUACGGAGGGUGCGAGCGUUAAUCGGAAUUACUGGGCGUAAAGCGCGCGUAGGUGGCUUGAUAAGCCGGUUGUGAAAGCCCCGGGCUCAACCUGGGAACGGCAUCCGGAACUGUCAAGCUAGAGUGCAGGAGAGGAAGGUAGAAUUCCCGGUGUAGCGGUGAAAUGCGUAGAGAUCGGGAGGAAUACCAGUGGCGAAGGUGGCCUUCUGGACUGACACUGACACUGAGGUGCGAAAGCGUGGGUAGCAAACAGGAUUAGAUACCCGGGUAGUC